Molecule: small nuclear RNA, 100 nt
Organism: Cervus hanglu yarkandensis (Yarkand deer)
Lineage: Eukaryota; Metazoa; Chordata; Mammalia; Artiodactyla; Cervidae
Source: Ensembl
UCGCUUCCACAGCACAUAUAAAUAAAACUGGAAUGAUACAGAGAUUAGCAUGGCGCCCGCACAAGGAUGAUGAGCAAAUCCUUAAGCAGUCCAUAUUCUG